This 789-nucleotide unclassified non-coding RNA is filed under the name Hevea brasiliensis (rubber tree). Lineage: Eukaryota; Viridiplantae; Streptophyta; Magnoliopsida; Malpighiales; Euphorbiaceae. The record is from RNAcentral.
AGACGAACUAAUUAAGGUUCUUGGUAUCGAUCUGUCCUGGAGAAUGCACAGAUCAUCUGAUGGGCAAAGAAGAAGAGUGCAGAUAUGUAUGGGUCUUCUGAAACCAUUCAAGGUACUACUUCUCGAUGAGAUAACAGUUGAUCUAGAUGUUCUUGCAAGGGCUGAUCUUUUGAAAUUUCUGAUCAAAGAAUGUGAAGAGCGAGGCGCUACAAUAAUUUAUGCAACACACAUUUUUGAUGGUCUUGAGAAUUGGCCUUCUCAUUUAAUAUAUGUGGCUCAUGGGAAGCUGCAAUUAGCAAUGCCAAUGGAUAGGGUGAAGCAGAUCAGCAAUUUAUCACUAAUGAGGACAGUAGAGAGAUGGCUGAGGAAAGAAAGAGACGAGGAGAGGCAACGACGGAAAGAGAGGAAGGCAAAGGGCCUUCCUGAAUAUGAAAAACAAGUUGAGGGCACUCGAGUGGUAGGGGGAGAUCCAGGUCGUGCUGCUGGUCGUCCAUUAAACAAUGGUUGGGCUGGUGGAACACUACAUUCUACUAUUGCUGGCGAAGAGAACUUUUUCUUAAGCUCAAACCGUGUUCUAAGAUAAAGAGAACUGAUGCACACUUCUUUGGAACUGGUGUCAACGUACUUUACCAUUUCAUUCUUUCUGGUCAGAUAACCAUGAAGCUAGAACUGAUAAAGUUUUAAAUUUGUAGAUUAGAAUUAUUCUGUUUAUUUGGUUUGUAUACGUAUCUCCUAUUUUCUAUAUGCUCUUGUGGGGACUAAAAAGUUGGUGUAAUCUUACAAAUUGAA